CUCCCUAAUGAGGGUAGAGUAUGAGGGGUGAGACCUGCCCAAUGGUUGUAUCUUAAAAGGUUGGUAAGGCGAAUUUAAUAAAGACAAUUUAAUGGCUGCGGUAACACUGACCGUGAAAAUGUAGCGAAAUAAAUAGUCAAUUAAUUGUUGACCGGUAUGAAUGGUGUCACGAGGGUCUCGCUGUCUUAAGGAAGUUUCCAGUGAAAUUGAACUUGUAGUGAAGAUGCUACAUCUAAAUUGUUAGACAAGAAGUCCCCAUGGAACUUUACUGGAGACUUAUGUGGCUGACUUAAAUAGUUUUAAAAUGUGGUGUGACUCAACUAGGGUUAGAAAAGCUCACUUUUUAUUUUAAGAAAGGCAACUUAAAAAUAUAUGUUUUUGGGAUUGGAUAAGUGAGACAGUUUGGUUGGGGCGACCGCCUUUAAAAAAGUAACGAAGGCGGACUUAAGAUGUAUGUUUAGUUAUGUCUGACUGCUAAGGGGAGACCCAGAGCAGACACUUGUCUUUGGAUGGUGGGUUUAAGUGACCCGUUAGCUCAGAGUGAAAGGGUUAACGAUAAACAAAUAAAAGUUACCCUGGGGAUAACAGCGCAAUAACGUUUAAGAGUUUAUAUCGACGACGAUGUUUGCGACCUCAUGUUUUAAGGUUAA
This 650-nucleotide ribosomal RNA is filed under the name Pavona frondifera. Its description in RNAcentral is "partial 16S ribosomal RNA". It matches the Rfam family "Bacterial large subunit ribosomal RNA", at positions 1826 to 2543 of the family's 2925-position model. Lineage: Eukaryota; Metazoa; Cnidaria; Anthozoa; Scleractinia; Agariciidae. The record is from RNAcentral.